Molecule: long non-coding RNA, 3014 nt
Organism: Oncorhynchus keta (chum salmon)
Lineage: Eukaryota; Metazoa; Chordata; Actinopteri; Salmoniformes; Salmonidae
Exons: 8
Source: RefSeq, a predicted model, not a curated record
UAGACUAGAGGAUGUUAGAGAAUAGCAUUAGGUCAGUUAGACUAGAGGAUGUUAGAGAAUAGCAUUAGGUCAGUUAGACUAGAGGAUGUUAGAGAAUAGCAUUAGGUCAGCUAGACUAGAGGAUGUUAGAGAAUAGCAUUAGGUCAGCUAGACUAGAGGAUGUUAGAGAAUAGCAUUAGGUCAGCUAGACUAGACGAUGUUAGAGAAUAGCAUUAGGUCAGUUAGACUAGAGGAUGUUAGAGAAUAGCAUUAGGUCAGCUAGACUAGAGGAUGUUAGAGAAUAGCAUUAGGUCAGCUAGACUAGAGGAUGUUAGAGAAUAGCAUUAGGUCAGCUAGACUAGAGGAUGUUAGAGAAUAGCAUUAGGUCAGUUAGACUAGAGGAUGUUAGAGAAUAGCAUUAGGUCAGCUAGACUAGAGGAUGUUAGAGAAUAGCAUUAGGUCAGUUAGACUAGAGGAUGUUAGAGAAUAGCAUUAGGUCAGCUAGACUAGACGAUGUUAGAGAAUAGCAUUAGGUCAGCUAGACUAGACGAUGUUAGAGAAUAGCAUUAGGUCAGCUAGACUAAACGAUGUUAGAGAAUAGCAUUAGGUCAGUUAGACUAGAGGAUGUUAGAGAAUAGCAUUAGGUCAGCUAGACUAGACGAUGUUAGAGAAUAGCAUUAGGUCAGCUAGACUAGACGAUGUUAGAGAAUAGCAUUAGGUCAGUUAGACUAGAGGAUGUUAGAGAAUAGCAUUAGGUCAGCUAGACUAGAGGAUGUUAGAGAAUAGCAUUAGGUCAGUUAGACUAGAGGAUGUUAGAGAAUAGCAUUAGGUCAGCUAGACUAGAGGAUGUUAGAGAAUAGCAUUAGGUCAGCUAGACUAGAGGAUGUUAGAGAAUAGCAUUAGGUCAGCUAGACUAGAGGAUGUUAGAGAAUAGCAUUAGGUCAGCUAGACUAGACGAUGUUAGAGAAUAGCAUUAGGUCAGCUAGACUAGACGAUGUUAGAGAAUAGCAUUAGGUCAGCUAGACUAGACGAUGUUAGAGAAUAGCAUUAGGUCAGCUAGACUAGACGAUGUUAGAGAAUAGCAUUAGGUCAGCUAGACUAGACGAUGUUAGAGAAUAGCAUUAGGUCAGCUAGACUAGAGGAUGUUAGAGAAUAGCAUUAGGUCAGUUAGACUAGAGGAUGUUAGAGAAUAGCAUUAGGUCAGCUAGACUAGACGAUGUUAGAGAAUAGCAUUAGGUCAGCUAGACUAGAGGAUGUUAGAGAAUAGCAUUAGGUCAGCUAGACUAGACGAUGUUAGAGAAUAGCAUUAGGUCAGCUAGACUAGAGGAUGUUAGAGAAUAGCAUUAGGUCAGCUAGACUAGAGGAUGUUAGAGAAUAGCAUUAGGUCAGCUAGACUAGAGGAUGUUAGAGAAUAGCAUUAGGUCAGCUAGACUAGAGGAUGUUAGAGAAUAGCAUUAGGUCAGCUAGACUAGAGGAUGUUAGAGAAUAGCAUUAGGUCAGCUAGACUAGAGGAUGUUAGAGAAUAGCAUUAGGUCAGCUAGACUAGAGGAUGUUAGAGAAUAGCAUUAGGUCAGCUAGACUAGAGGAUGUUAGAGAAUAGCAUUAGGUCAGCUAGACUAGACGAUGUUAGAGAAUAGCAUUAGGUCAGCUAGACUAGAGGAUGUUAGAGAAUAGCAUUAGGUCAGCUAGACUAGAGGAUGUUAGAGAAUAGCAUUAGGUCAGCUAGACUAGACGAUGUUAGAGAAUAGCAUUAGGUCAGCUAGACUAGACGAUGUUAGAGAAUAGCAUUAGGUCAGCUAGACUAGAGGAUGUUAGAGAAUAGCAUUAGGUCAGUUAGACUAGACGAUGUUAGAGAAUAGCAUUAGGUCAGCUAGACUAGAGGAUGUUAGAGAAUAGCAUUAGGUCAGCUAGACUAGAGGAUGUUAGAGAAUAGCAUUAGGUCAGCUAGACUAGAGGAUGUUAGAGAAUAGCAUUAGGUCAGUUAGACUAGAGGAUGUUAGAGAAUAGCAUUAGGUCAGCUAGACUAGAGGAUGUUAGAGAAUAGCAUUAGGUCAGCUAGACUAGAGGAUGUUAGAGAAUAGCAUUAGGUCAGCUAGACUAGAGGAUGUUAGAGAAUAGCAUUAGGUCAGCUAGACUAGAGGAUGUUAGAGAAUAGCAUUAGGUCAGCUAGACUAGAGGAUGUUAGAGAAUAGCAUUAGGUCAGCUAGACUAGAGGAUGUUAGAGAAUAGCAUUAGGUCAGCUAGACUAGAGGAUGUUAGAGAAUAGCAUUAGGUCAGCUAGACUAGAGGAUGUUAGAGAAUAGCAUUAGGUCAGUUAGACUAGACGAUGUUAGAGAAUAGCAUUAGGUCAGUUAGACUAGAGGAUGUUAGAGAAUAGCAUUAGGUCAGCUAGACUAGACGAUGUUAGAGAAUAGCAUUAGGUCAGCUAGACUAAACGAUGUUAGAGAAUAGCAUUAGGUCAGCUAGACUAGACGAUGUUAGAGAAUAGCAUUAGGUCAGCUAGACUAGACGAUGUUAGAGAAUAGCAUUAGGCGCACAUUCAAUCUGUGUAAUCUAGAACAUCCUACUGUCACGCAGUAACGCAAACUAGCGGUAUAUUAACUAGAACUAAACGGAAUCAGGAAAUGAGUGCCCACUGCUAUUUAAUUGCAGAUCCCGACUUCAUUCCGCUUUGAUUAACCAUUCAGAACAUGAAGAAUCAUAUUUGUCUUGGUAAAAUGUAUUUUAUAGCAUAUGGAAGUUACAUUUAAUCACCAACGCGCGUGUUUACCCACUUUACGCAGAGUGGUGGACCCCCUACAUUAUGGCUAUUUUAAAACUGUGUAGGGUAGUAGGGGGUAACUAGCUGUAAUUCACAUAAAGACCACAAGAUGUCACUAAAUUAUUUUCGCAACACUUUCUCAGGCUGUCACUGUUCUUGCUGAACAAAAUAAAUGUCCUCAAUGUCAUCACACUUUUGAGACAAUUCAACAAAACGAUUGUGGUAAAUUGAUCAAAUUUUUUUGAAAUGUUGAAAAAGUUGUAGAUAUAUUCCA